Molecule: ribosomal RNA, 274 nt
Filed under: uncultured bacterium
Lineage: Bacteria
Description: partial 16S ribosomal RNA
Rfam family: Bacterial small subunit ribosomal RNA
Source: RNAcentral
GAGAUCGGGAGAGGGAUGCGGAAUUCCAGGUGUAGCGGUGAAAUGCGUAGAUAUCUGGAGGAACACCGGUGGCGAAGGCGGCAUCCUGGACCGGUAUUGACGCUGAGGCGCGAAAGCCAGGGGAGCAAACGGGAUUAGAUACCCCGGUAGUCCUGGCCCUAAACGAUGAAUGCUUGGUGUGGCGGGUAUCGAUCCCUGCCGUGCCGAAGCUAACGCAUUAAGCAUUCCGCCUGGGGAGUACGGUCGCAAGGCUGAAACUCAAAUGAAUUGACGG